Molecule: ribosomal RNA, 497 nt
Filed under: uncultured bacterium
Lineage: Bacteria
Description: partial 16S ribosomal RNA
Rfam family: Bacterial small subunit ribosomal RNA
Source: RNAcentral
GACGAACGCUGGCGGCGUGCCUAAUACAUGCAAGUAGAACGCUGAAGAGAGGAGCUUGCUCUUCUUGGAUGAGUUGCGAACGGGUGAGUAACGCGUAGGUAACCUGCCUUGUAGCGGGGGAUAACUAUUGGAAACGAUAGCUAAUACCGCAUAACAAUGGAUGACACAUGUCAUUUAUUUGAAAGGGGCAAUUGCUCCACUACAAGAUGGACCUGCGUUGUAUUAGCUAGUAGGUGAGGUAAUGGCUCACCUAGGCGACGAUACAUAGCCGACCUGAGAGGGUGAUCGGCCACACUGGGACUGAGUCACGGCCCAGACUCCUACGGGAGGCAGCAGUAGGGAAUCUUCGGCAAUGGGGGCAACCCUGACCGAGCAACGCCGCGUGAGUGAAGAAGGUUUUCGGAUCGUAAAGCUCUGUUGUAAGUCAAGAACGGGUGUGAGAGUGGAAAGUUCACACUGUGACGGUAGCUUACCAGAAAGGGACGGCUAACUACGUG